CAAACAUGCCUCUGUCCUGAGGCUCUUCCUGCUGCCUGGAACAUUCCUCCUGGGCUGAAGUAGGACCAAAUUCUUAUUCUUCAGGUAAUGAUGGACAAGUCCAUUAAGCCUUCUGAUCAUCAGCUUCUUGAACGCUAAAGUGGGAAAUCUAACAUUAAGAUGUCCUACAGCAUGGACUGUUGUGAAAACUAAUAAAGACAAAGCAUUUUCAAGUGCUCUGAAGCACUCAGUGCUAAGUACAAUAAAAGUAAUGCAGCCAGAGGCCUUGAGCCUGCGCCAGAUGGAACCGGCCUUGGCCACUCUUUCCCAUACCGCUCCCAGCUGACAGAGGUUUGGCUGGUGAUUCUGCCAGAACCCAUGCAUCAGUAUUACCCCAGGAGCUGCAGGGCACACACCAGUGUGUGCUGAGAAAGCCCCCAAGAAAGAUGGAACCCACACAGGGGCAUUGCUAAUGCUGUCCCAGAAAACAAGCCCAGGGAUUUUCCCAGCUCUACACAUUGCUUUGUGUUUAUCAGUGCUUUGACCAGCACUGUUCCUUUGUGACAGACAUGAAACUCUUAAAACAAAAAUCUUUUUUAUUUUA
Cebus imitator (Panamanian white-faced capuchin) is the source of this 583-nucleotide long non-coding RNA. RefSeq lists it as uncharacterized. The record is from RefSeq and is a predicted model, not a curated record. NCBI's taxonomy places the organism in Eukaryota, Metazoa, Chordata, Mammalia, Primates, Cebidae. The transcript has 2 exons.